Molecule: ribosomal RNA, 464 nt
Filed under: uncultured bacterium
Lineage: Bacteria
Description: partial 16S ribosomal RNA
Rfam family: Bacterial small subunit ribosomal RNA
Source: RNAcentral
CCUACGGGGGACAGCAGUAGGGAAUUUUCGUCAAUGGGCGCAAGCCUGAACGAGCAAUGCCGCGUGAACGAGGAAGGUUUUCGGAUCGUAAAGUUCUGUUGAAGGGGAAAAAGAGCGGAGAGCGGAAAUGCUUUCUGAUUGAUAUUAUCCUUCGAGGUAGUCUAGGCUAACUCCGUGCCAGUAGCCGCGGAAAUACGUAGGUGGCGAGCGUUAUCCGGAAUGAUUGGGCGAAAGGGGUGCUUAGGCGGCCUGUUAGGUCUGGGGGGAAAGGUGCCGGCUCAACCGGUACAGGCGCUGGAAACUGGCGGGCUAGAGAGUAGGAGAGGGCGGUGGAACGCCAGGUGUAGCGGUAAAAUGCGUAGAUAUAUGGAAGAACACCAGUGGCGAAGGCGGCCGCCUGGCCUGUUAACUGACGCUGAGGCACGAAAGCGUGGGGAGCAAAUAGGAUUAGAUACCCGAGUAGU